AGCUGUGACUAUAUGGACACAAUCUUCAGUAUAGCUAUGUGGUUUUUACCAGCUAUGCUCAUCAGUCAAGCAAUAUGACUAAGAGGGAAGAUUGGUCCAGAAGUGGAAUUUAUCAGAUGUGUUGUGAUGGUUAAUUUUGUGUCAACUUAACUGGCCUGAGGGAUGCCCAGAUAGCUGGUAAAACAUUCUUUCUGCAUGUCUGUGAGAAUUUCCAGGAGAGAUUAGUGGAUUGGAGGCAGGAAAGGCACGUAUGGGUUUGGAGAGUGUUAAAUUAUUUUUUAAGAUGAGAAAGCUUAAAUAUUUGAAAUGAUGAAAAGGAAUCAGUGGCAGAAAAAAAAUAAGAUUAUAAAGUGAGAUUAUUUGACUGAGUGGAAUGACCAAAGAGAUCUCUUCUCACUAGUGUGGGCAGGUAUUGUCUAGUCCACUGGGGGUCUGAAUGGAACAGAAAGAUGAAGAAAGAACAAAUUGUCUCCCUCUUACCCUUUUCUCUCUUCAUGAGCUGGAACAUCCAUCUUUUUCUGCUGUCAGACCAUGGAGAUCCUGGUUCUCAGGCCUUUGGACAUGGAGGGAAUUAUACCACUGGCUUUCUUGGUCUUCCAGCUUUCAGAUGGCAGACUUUGGGACUUCUUGGCCUCUCUAAUGAAAUAACAGGUGGACAGAGUGAGAUGAGAAUACCAGCACGAAGCAGUUGAAGAAAUAUGUCCUGGAGACUGUUGGAUGAGAAGGAAGAGAAAAUAGCAGAUGAGACAGAAGACUAUGAAGGAACUGGAGGAACAGAUGUUAUUAAAGAACAGAUUUGGUAAGAGUAACUUCAUGAGGACAAUCAAAACAGAUGAUUGUCAUCUGAGAAGGCAUAUUGAAAGUAAAAGGAUAGAGGACUAGGAAGAUGGUGGCAUAGGAGGACGCUAGGCUCACCGCGCGUCCUGCUGAUCACUUAGAUUCCACCUACACCUGCGUAAAUAACCCAGAAAACCGCCAGAGGAUUAGCAGAACGGAGUCUCCGGAGCCAAGCGCAGAUGAGAGGCCCACGGAAGAGGGUAGGAAGGGCAGCGAGGCGGUGCGAGCUCCACGGACUGGCGGGAGGGAGCCGGGUCGGAGGGGCGGCCCGCCGGCCAAGCAGAGCCCCCGAGUCUGGCUGGCAAAA
Long non-coding RNA from Neofelis nebulosa (Clouded leopard), 1144 nucleotides. RefSeq lists it as uncharacterized. The record is from RefSeq and is a predicted model, not a curated record. NCBI's taxonomy places the organism in Eukaryota, Metazoa, Chordata, Mammalia, Carnivora, Felidae. The transcript is spliced from 3 exons.